This 59-nucleotide microRNA precursor is filed under the name Sarcophilus harrisii (Tasmanian devil). RNAcentral describes it as "mir-7386 microRNA precursor family". It matches the Rfam family "mir-7386 microRNA precursor family". Lineage: Eukaryota; Metazoa; Chordata; Mammalia; Dasyuromorphia; Dasyuridae. The record is from Rfam by way of RNAcentral.
ACUUGGAUAAAGUGCUUUAUUUUGUGGAUAAUGCUGAAAUAAGGACUUUAUCCAUGGAA